RNAcentral lists this ribosomal RNA (497 nucleotides) under uncultured bacterium. Its description in RNAcentral is "partial 16S ribosomal RNA". It matches the Rfam family "Bacterial small subunit ribosomal RNA", at positions 28 to 507 of the family's 1533-position model. The record is from RNAcentral.
GAUGAACGCUGGCGGCGUGCCUAAUACAUGCAAGUCGAGCGAACAGACGCGUAGCUUGCUCCUCUGACGUUAGCGGCGGACGGGUGAGUAACACGUGCAGAACCUACCUAUAAGACUGGGAUAACAUCGGGAAACCGGAGCUAAUACCGGAUAAUAUAUUGAACCGCAUGGUUCAAUAGUUAAAGACGGUUUUGCUGUCACUUAUAGAUGGAUCCGCGUCGCGGUAGCUAGUUGGUAAGGUAACGGCUUACCAAGGCGACGAUGCGUAGCCGACCUGAGAGGGGGAUGGGCGACAGUGGGAGUGAGCCACGGUCCAGAGUCCGACGGGAGGCAGCGGUAGGGAAUCUUCGGAAAUGGGGGGAAGACUGCAGGAGCAGCGCCGGGUGAGUUAUGAAGGUCUGCGGGUCGUAAGACUCUGUUAUGAGGGAAAAACGAAUGUGGAAGUAACUAUGCACGUCUUGACGGUACCUGAACAGAAAGCAACGGCUAACUACGUG